This 230-nucleotide unclassified non-coding RNA is filed under the name Hevea brasiliensis (rubber tree). Lineage: Eukaryota; Viridiplantae; Streptophyta; Magnoliopsida; Malpighiales; Euphorbiaceae. The record is from RNAcentral.
GGAGGACUAACUCUUACAAGAGAUGUAAUCGCUCUGGAAAAACUGAAACGCAGUCUCCAGAACCCUCCACUUGACUGGAAUGGUGAUCCCUGUAUGCCUCGUCAGUAUUCAUGGUCUGGAAUUACAUGCUCUGAGGGCCGCCGGAUUCGUGUGAUUACAUUGAAUCUAACAAGCAUGGGCCUUUCAGGAUCAGUGUCACCAAGUAUUGCCAGAUUGACUGCGUUGACGGA